GACGAACGCUGGCGGCGUGCCUAACACAUGCAAGUCGAACGAGUCCAGACUUCGGUCUGAGGCGAGUGGCGGACGGGUGAGUAACACGUGAGCAAUCUAUCCCUGUGCGGGGGACAACCCGGGGAAACCCGGGCUAAUACCGCAUGGUCGGCUGGAAGGAUCUUCCGGUCGGGAAAGGUGGCCUCUUGACAAUGCUGCCGUGCAGGGAGGAGCUCGCGGGCUAUCAGCUAGCUGGUGAGGUAAUGGCUCACCAGGGCGACGACGGCUACGGGGUCUGAGAGGACGACCCCGCACAUUGGAACUGAGACACGGUCCAGACUCCUACGGGAGGCAGCAGUGGGGAAUUUUGGGCAAUGGCCGAAAGGCUGACCCAGCGACGCCGCGUGUGGGAGGAAGCCCUUCGGGGUGUAAACCACUGUCGGGAGGGACGAACGAGGGGGGCGGGAAUACCGCUCUCCUGUGACGGUACCUUCAAAGGAAGCGCCGGCUAACUCUGUGC
Molecule: ribosomal RNA, 499 nt
Filed under: uncultured bacterium
Lineage: Bacteria
Description: bacterial SSU rRNA
Rfam family: Bacterial small subunit ribosomal RNA
Source: RNAcentral